RNAcentral lists this small RNA (2617 nucleotides) under Pan troglodytes (chimpanzee). Its description in RNAcentral is "retained intron". Lineage: Eukaryota; Metazoa; Chordata; Mammalia; Primates; Hominidae. The record is from RNAcentral.
CUCUGGGUCUGCGUCCUCUUCUCACAGGGACAGCAGUCGUUGACUCUCCCUGAUCCAGGAGGGUCUCUCCAGAUCCUUCCCUAACAGCAGAGACCCGGCUUGUGGGGAGGGACUGGGACUCAAGACUUCUUCACCAGCCUGAGGUUGGUGCUGGGGCUUGGCGGCGGCUGUGAGAAUCCUGUGCUGGAGAAAGCGUCUCUCGGCCGGCCUGUCUGGGGCGUCUGUGCCUCUCCUGGAUGGGUCUCAGUUUGGCCCCGUCCAUCCAUCCCAGGAGCUGCGGUGGAGCAGACAGGGAGGGGUGCCCCAGGACCCACAGCCCCGCCACUCCUGUCUUCCUUUAAGUGAACCGGUCGUGUAGAUGGAGGUUGUUCAGAAAGGGAUGAGAUGGGACGGCCGCUGGGCCUCAUCCUCCCGCAGUGACCGCGAAGCAGAGGCCGCUGCGCUUGUGGCAGGGGCUUAGGCCAGGGCAGAGUCGGGCCUCACGUGCAGGGGGCUGAGUGUGGGCCUCAACACUGGACUUGGCCACUGACUGCAGUGAGCCCCAAGAUGGGGCAGGCGGUGGUGUUUCUGUCCUGGAGACCCAGGGUGGCUUGGGUCCUUGGGAUGUGUGGGGACCUCGGGGUGAGGGCCCGUUGGGGCCGGGUGGGCACGGCGGGAGAGCGGGGGCCACACACCCAGAGGCAGUGCCGUGUCCCGGCCGGGAGGGUUCCUGGGAAGCUCUGCUCAGCCCCAGUCUCAAGUCAUUUCUAGAAACUGUGUUUUCCUCCCUGUGACGUCACACGUGAAGGAAACGGAAAAGGGCAGUGAGUCCUUCGCCCCGCGGCGCCGUGCGCACGUCAGCCUUCAGGGUGAUUCCGCUCCUCCAGAGGGGCAGGCGCGGGUGUGGGGGGUGGGGCCCGGGCCCAUCCUGAGGGGUCCCAGGCAUGAGGGGCUCUGAGCUGUGUCCUGGGGGGGUCUGGGCCGUGGGGAGGUUCUGGAUCAUGUCUUGAGGGGUCUGGGCUGUGGGGGGUCCAGGCCAUGUCCUGGGGGUCUGGGCUGUGUCUGUGGGGAGUCAGGGCCAUCCAUGUAUUGGGGGUCUGGGGCGGGGGGGGUCAGGCUGUCUUGGGGAGUCCGGGCUGUGUGGAGGGGUCCAAGCUAUGCCUUUGGGGAUCAGGCCUGUGGGAGGCUCUGGGUUAUGUCUUGGCGGGGGUCCAGGCCGUGUCUUGGGGGCUGGGCCACGUUCUGGGGACGUGUGAAUCCUGGAGGGUGGGGCCCCGGUCUCGCGGGAGGCUGUGUCCCUCGAGUUCAGGCAGCACCUCUCGGAACUUUCUCGAUCUGCGUGCUGGCGUCUGUCGGCCUCGAUACCCACAGGCUGCGCCCCUCUCAGCACAGGAAGUCCUGGAGAACCUGAAGGACCGCUGGUACCAGGCGGACAGCCCCCCUGCGGACCUGCUGCUGACGGAGGAGGAGUUCCUGUCAUUCCUCCACCCCGAGCACAGCCGGGGAAUGCUCAGGUUCAUGGUGAAGGAGAUCGUCCGGGACCUGGGUGAGGCUGGGUCCAGCCUGGCCAGCACGCCAGGGCCCGGGACCGACUGGCAGGGGCCGGGCAUCGUCGGGAGGUCGGGGCAGGUCCUGCGGGAGCCCCAGCCUGGGUGUGGGCUGACCCAUUCCCGUCUCGCAGACCAGGACGGUGACAAGCAGCUCUCUCUGCCCGAGUUCAUCUCCCUGCCUGUGGGCACCGUGGAGAACCAGCAGGGCCAGGACAUUGACGACAACUGGGUGAAAGACAGAAAAAAGGAGUUUGAGGAGCUCAUUGACUCCAACCACGACGGCAUCGUGACCGCCGAGGAGCUGGAGAGCUACAUGGACCCCAUGAACGAGUACAACGCGCUGAACGAGGCCAAGCAGAUGAUCGCCGUCGCCGACGAGAACCAGAACCACCACCUGGAGCCCGAGGAGGUGCUCAAGUACAGCGAGUUCUUCACGGGCAGCAAGCUGGUGGACUACGCGCGCAGCGUGCACGAGGAGUUCUGAGCGCCCGGCCGCGCCCCGCGCCGCCCCCCACGCACCACCGGCGCGGCCCCGCGGGUGACUCCGGGCUCCGUGGCUGUCCCUCCGUGGCUGUCCCGGGCCCCACCUCCUCCCUGCCGCCCGCCACCGGCCGACCGCCCGCGGCUGCCCCGGCUGAUGAGCGGCGCGUCCCCUCUGCAGCGCGCACCCCGGCGGGGCUUCGGCUGUGACGCGGCCGGGGCGCGGGGCGGGGCGCGGGGCUGGGCUGUGGCCCCGCGGCGCCGCCUCCUCCCUGGUCCCUCGAAAUCGUUGCAUCUCACUUCUGAGAACGAAAUCUCGCUUCACUCACUCUGCCGAAGGCGCUGACGGCAUCGCGGCCGGAACCUCUGGGCCCGGCCCCUCCCAGGGCCGCCGCUCCGUGGGAAAUAACAGCUCCUCCAUUUCCUUGAAAACUGAACGAUUAUUAAAAAUAGAUUAAACUUCGCUGGAAAUGAGUAGCCAGGAAGUUCAGGGGAGGGUGCCGGGUCCUUCCCGGGCCUGGCGUGUCGGAGCCACCCAGGUCCCGCAGCUGCCGCUGAGAAAAUGCAAAUAUUUGUUGUGACAAGAAUCACAUUAAUUUACUUUAAAU